Molecule: long non-coding RNA, 751 nt
Filed under: Phasianus colchicus (ring-necked pheasant)
Lineage: Eukaryota; Metazoa; Chordata; Aves; Galliformes; Phasianidae
Description: lncRNA (ENSPCLG00000017130.1)
Source: RNAcentral
CUUCCGCCCCGCCCCUCUGAGCCGAGAACCAAUGAGCUCUGCGGAACGCCUGAGUGGCGUCCGAUCCGACCAAUGAGAACGCUGGGAAGGGCGAGGGGCGGAGCGGGUGCCGCGCGGCGCCGCCAUUUUGCGGCGGAGAAACGGCGGCGGCAGCGGCGGCGGAGAGCGGAGGUGGGAACGGAGCGGCGGGGCGGGGCCGGAGUGGGGCGGGGCCUAACGGAGGGGGCGUGGCCUAACGGGGAGGGGGGUGAAUGGGAUCGAGGGGGGCUUAAUUGGGGCGGGAGGGGCGUAACGGGAAAGAAGGAUUCUGAUUGGUGGGCUUGGAGGCAGGGGGCGGGGCUUGAUUGGGUGGGGGCGGGGCUUAGUGGAUGGAUGGGGGCGUGGUUUGUAUGGUAAUGAGGUGGGCGGGGCUUGGUGGGGGCUUCACGUGGCGGCUGUUGGCUUUUGGGGCCCGGCCCAGUUCAGCCCAGUUCGUCCCAGUGCCUCCCAGUCCAUCCCAGUUCAUCCCAGUUCAUCCCAGUGCCUCCUUAAACUCUUCCCAGUCCCUCCCAGUUCGUCCCAGUGCCUCUUUUGUGUCUUCCCAGUUCAUCCCAUUCCAUCCCAGUGCCUCCUUUGUGUCUUCCCAGUUCAUCCCAGUUCAUCCCAGUGCCUCCUUUGUGUCUUCCCAGUUCAUCCCAGUCCAUCCCAGUUCAUCCCAGUUCAACCCAGUGCUUCCUUUGUGUCUUCCCAGUUCAUCCCAGUUCAUCCCAGU